RNAcentral lists this long non-coding RNA (757 nucleotides) under Calidris pugnax (ruff). Its description in RNAcentral is "lncRNA (ENSCPUG00000005297.1)". Lineage: Eukaryota; Metazoa; Chordata; Aves; Charadriiformes; Scolopacidae. The record is from RNAcentral.
AGUGGGGGUGGAGAGAAGGGCAUUCAAGACUAGCACUCCAACACACUCCAGCUUAUCCCAGGGUUUGUUACUUAUAUUUUAAGCUUUCCCAAGUUGCUGUUCCAUCGUGUUUCCCUUUCUCUAGCACCUUUUGAUGGGCUUCAAUCGUGGUCUUGGUCUGGCUGCCUUGUUUCCUCAUUUUUCAUCAAGCUGUUUGCUGCAGCAGAGACUUUGGGCUGCUGUGCCUCCACUGCAGUUAGGAGCAGCACUAACAGUGGUGCAUGACAUUCAAGACAAACAUGAUAUUCUAAAGGUGUGCUCCAAGGGCUGGACUAUUUAUCGGGCAAUACAUCACCAUUCUGGGACUGAAGAUCGCGGGAAGAAGCCCUCUUACCCUGCCUGGCAGAAAUGGCUUGCCUUUAGACCUUGCAUUCAGACCUCAGAGGGCAAGAAGGCAGACUCUCCCAGCUCUUUCUUCCCCAGGGUGGAACGCAGGCAGAAAAGCAAAUUACACCAGCUUUGAACCAACAAGGAGCAGGACCACCCUAUGCAUCCCAGAGCGUUCCAACAUUUCAGUUCCCCGGGAAGUGGAUGUGGCUCUUCAACCCCCAGCAAGCGCACGUCAUCUGGAGACAAUAACGACAGCCACCUGGCAAGACCAUCAUCACAUGUAGGUACCCUACAAAUUUGGACCAUUUCUCUGUGCCUGUUUCGGUUUCUCUUCCACUUUGGUGAAAGAUGUCUUCUUGCAAUGCUUGCUGCUUCAGUGAGACGCAGU